This 465-nucleotide ribosomal RNA is filed under the name uncultured bacterium. RNAcentral describes it as "partial 16S ribosomal RNA". It matches the Rfam family "Bacterial small subunit ribosomal RNA", at positions 338 to 795 of the family's 1533-position model. The record is from RNAcentral.
CCUACGGGUGGCAGCAGUGGGGAAUAUUGCGCAAUGGGCGAAAGCCUGACGCAGCGACGCCGCGUGAGGGAUGAAGGUCUUCGGAUCGUAAACCUCUGUCAGCAGGGAAGAACGGUCACUGUGCUAAUCAGCAGUGAAUUGACGGUACCUGCAAAGGAAGCACCGGCUAACUCCGUGCCAGCAGCCGCGGUAAUACGGAGGGGGCGAGCGUUAAUCGGAAUUACUGGGAGUAAAGCGCUCGUAGGUGGUAUGUCAAGUCCAAGGUGAAAGCCCCGGGCUCAACGUUGGAACUGCCUUUGAAACUGGCAAACUGGAGUGUGUGAGAGGAUAGUGGAAUUACAGGUGUAGGAGUGAAAUCCGUAGAUAUCUGGAGGAACAUCAGUGGCGAAGGCGACUAUCUGGCAGAUAACUGACGCUGAGGAGCGAAAGCGUGGGUAGCAAACAGGAUUAGAUACCCCUGUAGUC